Long non-coding RNA from Mus musculus (house mouse), 1524 nucleotides. RefSeq annotates it as translational activator of mitochondrially encoded cytochrome c oxidase I, opposite strand. Lineage: Eukaryota; Metazoa; Chordata; Mammalia; Rodentia; Muridae. The record is from RefSeq and is a predicted model, not a curated record. The transcript has 3 exons.
GGAUUCUGCAAAGUUGGUUCCGCUGCCUCGCGGUACUCGUUCCAACCCCGCCCCUGCCAGGAGUGACGCAACCCUUCUUUGCUCCCGGUUGCUUGGAAACGACAGAUCACCUUCCCGGAGAGAUUCAGAUAAAGAAACCGCCGCCAAGGUUGACAUCAAGAUAGCCUGGAACUGAUGGUUGUGAGCUGUCACAUGGAGAAUCGAAAUUGAACCUGGGUCCUCUGGAAGGGCAACCAAUAUCCUUAACUGCUGAGCUAUUUCUCCAGCCCCUUCCACCAUCGGUUCUCUUGGCAGAGAAAACAAGAGAAAAAGGACACUAUGGAAAAAUAAAGAAAAAAUAAUGUAGCAGCUGCUUGAAACUCUUUAAGAGCUCUCUAGGGGGGGGGUGAAUUAAGUCUCAAGAGCGUAACACAUUUAAAAAAGCAGGUCAGUGUGAAGGCAGUUUGAAGUCUUGCUCUCUAAAGUUAGGCUGGAUGAAUUCAAAGUGUGUUUCUGCCAUUUAGUAGUGCAACCUUGGGCAAGUUCUUUACUUUCUGUUUCCUUCUACAAUGGCCUUGAAUAAGCAGGAUGAGGGGAAGGGCACGGACACAGAUUUUAUAUUAUUUUUUAAAAGAUUUAUUUUAUUAUUAUACAUAAGUACACUGUAGCUGUCUUCAGACACACCAGAAGGCAUCAGAUCUCAUUACUGAUGGUUGUGAGCCACCAUGUGGUUGCUGGGAUAUGAACUCAGGACCUUUGGAAGAGCAGUCAGUGCUCCUACCCACUGAGCCAUCUCUCCAGACCCCAGAUUUUAUAUUCUUAGUGGAUAUGUCCAAAAUUAAUCUACUUACCUUUCAUUCUCAUGUAUGUCUAUGGGAGGGCAUUAUGUUAGCUGUUAGAUUAUCCUUGUGUUUCCUUCCUAGUUCCAGAAUAGCAGCUGGCAGCCACCAAGCACAACCUGAGUUCUUUUUUUUUUUUUUAAGAUUUAUUUAUUAUGUGUAAGUACACUGUAGCUGUCUUCAAACACUCCAGAAGAGGGCAUCAGAUCCCAUUACAGACGGUUGUGAGCCACUAUGUGGGUGCUGGAAAUUGAACUCAGGACCUCUGGAAGAGCAGUCAGUGCUCUUAACUGCUGAGCCAUCUCUCCAGCCCGUGUUUUGUAUUUUGAGACAGGGUUUCUUUGUGGAGCCCUGGCUGUCCUGGAACUGACUGUGCAGAGCAUACUGGCUUCCGACUCAGAGAUUCAUACACCUCUGCCUGCUGAGUGCCAAGACUAAAAGCCCACGCCACUGCUACCGGGAGUUUCUGUAUAGGAUCAGCUUCCUUAUUAAACACCACAUUCCCAAAGAGGGAGGCCACUGAGCAAACGACAGGGACGAGCAUGAAGAACUCCAAGAAUCAUGUUGACUGUGGUGUCUGCACUGAGUCCCAGGCUGCAGACGCACCACCACUCUUCGUCUCAGCUUUACUCUAGCAGAAAUGUAUGUAUUUAUUUAUUUAUUUACUUACUUACUUAUUUUUGAGACAGGGUAUCUCUAUGUGGCC